This 301-nucleotide ribosomal RNA is filed under the name uncultured bacterium. Its description in RNAcentral is "partial 16S ribosomal RNA". It matches the Rfam family "Bacterial small subunit ribosomal RNA", at positions 509 to 807 of the family's 1533-position model. The record is from RNAcentral.
CAGCCGCCGCGGGAAUACGAAGGGUGCAAGCGUUACUCGGAAUUACUGGGCGUAAAGCGUGCGUAGGCGGCUUCUUAAGUCGGAUGUGAAAUCCCUGAGCUUAACUUAGGAAUUGCAUUCGAUACUGGGAAGCUAGAGUAUGGGAGAGGAUGGUAGAAUUCCAGGUGUAGCGGUGAAAUGCGUAGAGAUCUGGAGGAAUACCGAUGGCGAAGGCAGCCAUCUGGCCUAAUACUGACGCUGAGGUACGAAAGCAUGGGGAGCAAACAGGAUUAGAUACCCGGGUAGUCCCUGUCUCUUAUAC